UGCAGUCGACGGUAACAGCGGAAGCUUGCUUCCGGCUGACGAGUGGCGGACGGGUGAGUAACGCGUAGGAAUCUGCCUAGUAGUGGGGGACAACCCGGGGAAACUCGGGCUAAUACCGCAUACGCCCUAAGGGGGAAAGCGGGGGAUCUUCGGACCUCGUGCUAUUAGAUGAGCCUGCGUCGGAUUAGCUUGUUGGUAGGGUAAUGGCCUACCAAGGCGACGAUCCGUAGCUGGUCUGAGAGGACGAUCAGCCACACUGGGACUGAGACACGGCCCAGACUCCUACGGGAGGCAGCAGUGGGGAAUAUUGCACAAUGGGCGCAAGCCUGAUGCAGCAAUGCCGCGUGUGUGAAGAAGGCCUGCGGGUUGUAAAGCACUUUCGAUUGGGAGGAAAAGUUUAGAGUUAAUAACUCUGGACCUUGACGUUACCUUUAGAAGAAGCACCGGCUAACUCCGUG
RNAcentral lists this ribosomal RNA (458 nucleotides) under uncultured bacterium. RNAcentral describes it as "bacterial SSU rRNA". It matches the Rfam family "Bacterial small subunit ribosomal RNA", at positions 56 to 507 of the family's 1533-position model. The record is from RNAcentral.